This 74-nucleotide transfer RNA is filed under the name Caudoviricetes sp. RNAcentral's name for it is "tRNA-Thr". It matches the Rfam family "tRNA". Rfam says of the family: Transfer RNA (tRNA) molecules are approximately 80 nucleotides in length. The record is from RNAcentral. Lineage: Duplodnaviria; Heunggongvirae; Uroviricota; Caudoviricetes.
GCUGGGUUGAUGUAAUGGUAACAUGGGUGCUUUGUAAGCGCUUCACGCAAGUUCGAGUCUUGUACCUAGCUCCA